This 433-nucleotide ribosomal RNA is filed under the name uncultured bacterium. RNAcentral describes it as "bacterial SSU rRNA". It matches the Rfam family "Bacterial small subunit ribosomal RNA", at positions 29 to 507 of the family's 1533-position model. The record is from RNAcentral.
AACGAACGCUGGCGGCAGGCCUAACACAUGCAAGUCGAGCGAGGACUUCGGUCCUAGCGGCGGACGGGUGAGUAACGCGUGGGAACGUGCCCCUUGGUACGGAAUAGCCCCGGGAAACUGGGAGUAAUACCGUAUGGUGUCUUCGGACUAAAGAUUUAUCGCCAAAGGAUCGGCCCGCGUUGGAUUAGGUAGUUGGUGGGGUAAUGGCCUACCAAGCCGACGAUCCAUAGCUGGUUUGAGAGGAUGAUCAGCCACACUGGGACUGAGACACGGCCCAGACUCCUACGGGAGGCAGCAGUGGGGAAUCUUAGACAAUGGGGGCAACCCUGAUCUAGCCAUGCCGCGUGAGUGAUGAAGGCCCUAGGGUUGUAAAGCUCUUUCAGCUGGGAAGAUAAUGACGGUACCAGCAGAAGAAGCCCCGGCUAACUCCGUG